AAAAUAAAAAUUAAUAAAAAUAAAUUUAAUAAAAGUAAUUUUAAUAUUAAAAUAAAUAAUGGGGGUUAAAGUAUUUUAAUAGAAAAAAUUAUGAAUUUUAUAGUGAAUUAGUAUAGUAGUAGAAAUUUGAAAUAAAUGAAAAAUAAUUUUUAAAAAAGUAAAUUUAAAUUAUUGUAUCUUGUGUAUCAGAGUUUAUUAAAUAAUGUUUUUAUAUAAAAAUAUCUCGAAUUUAAAAGAGUUAAUUAAUUAAUAAAGUUAAUGUAAAAUAAUUAUUUUAAAUAAUUAAUUUGAAAUGAAAUGUUAAUCGUUUUUAAAUAUAUCUAGUUAUUUUAGAAAAAAAUUUAAUUUUAAAUUUAUUUAUUCAUUAUAUUAAUUAAAUUAAUAUAAUAAAAAAUAAAUUUUAUAAUUUAAGGGAUAAGCUUUAAAUUAAAUUAUUAUAAUAAAUAAUUAAAAUAAAUAAAAUUUUUAAGAUUUAUAUUGUUUAAAAAUUAAAGUUUAUUAUAAAAAAUUUUAUUAAGAAUAAAAUUUAAAUUAAUUUAAUUUUUUAUAAAAAUAUAAUUUUUAAUAUAAAAAGAUUAGUAAUAAUGAUGGAAUUAGUAUAAUAAAAUAAAAAAAAAAUAAAUUUAUUUAAAAUUAAAUAAAAGGAAUUCGGCAAAAUUUAUAUUCACCUGUUUAACAAAAACAUGUCUUUUUGAAAAAUAAUUUAAAGUCUAAUCUGCCCACUGAUUUUAUAUUAAAGGGCUGCAGUAUAUUGACUGUACAAAGGUAGCAUAAUCAUUAGUCUUUUAAUUGAAGACUUGUAUGAAGGAUUUGAUGAAAUAUGAACUGUCUCUUAUUUAUAAAUAGAAUUUAAUUUUUUAGUUAAAAAGCUAAAAUGUAAUUAAAAGACGAGAAGACCCUAUAGAGUUUUAUAAUUAUUUAUUUAAAAUAUUUAUAUAAAAUUUUAAUAUUUUAUUUGAAUAAUUAUUAUAUUGGGGUGAUAAAAAAAUUAAUUAAACUUUUUUUAAAAUUUAACAAAAAUAAAUGAAUAAAUGAUCCAUAAAUAAUGAUUAAAAGAAAAAAUUACCUUAGGGAUAACAGCGUAAUAUUUUUUUAGUACAAAUAAAAAAAAAGUUUGCGACCUCGAUGUUGGAUUAAGAUAAAAUUUAAAUGCAAAAGUUUAAAAUUUUGAUCUGUUCGAUCAUUAAAAUCUUACAUGAUCUGAGUUCAAACCGGUGUAAGCCAGGUUGGUUUCUAUCUUUAAUAAAAUAGGAUAUUUUA
RNAcentral lists this ribosomal RNA (1260 nucleotides) under Hypaurotis cognatus. RNAcentral describes it as "Favonius cognatus partial 16S ribosomal RNA". The record is from RNAcentral. Lineage: Eukaryota; Metazoa; Arthropoda; Insecta; Lepidoptera; Lycaenidae.